Molecule: ribosomal RNA, 459 nt
Filed under: uncultured bacterium
Lineage: Bacteria
Description: partial 16S ribosomal RNA
Rfam family: Bacterial small subunit ribosomal RNA
Source: RNAcentral
CCUACGGGUGGCUGCAGUGAGGAAUAUUGGUCAAUGGCCGGAAGGCUGAACCAGCCAAGCCGCGUGAAGGACGAAGGUGCCAAGUAUUGUAAACUUCUUUUGUCAAGGGACAAAAUCAGGCACUAGAGCCUGCACGAGGGUACUUGAAGAAAAAGCAUCGGCUAACUCCGUGCCAGCAGCCGCGGUAAUACGGAGGAUGCGAGCGUUAUCCGGAUUUAUUGGGUUUAAAGGGUGCGUAGGCGGACUGUUAAGUCAGCGGUAAAAGCCCGGGGCUCAACCCCGGCGAGCCGUUGAAACUGGCGGUCUUGAGAUGUCGAGAGGUAAGCGGAAUGCGCGGUGUAGCGGUGAAAUGCUUAGAUAUUGCGCAGAACCCAGAUUGCGAAGGCAGCAUACCGGCUGCAAACUGACGCUGAGGCACGAAAGCGUGGGUAUCGAACAGGAUUAGAUACCCGAGUAGUC